CAAGUGUCUCAGCCCCAAGAAGGCAGAGCUAGAUCUUGAAUUCAGAUCUCUUGGACUUCAGGAAUCUGUUCUUUUUUGAAUAACUGAAUGUGCUUUUGACCAGAAGGAAUGUUGACAGAGAUAGCAAAAAUGAGCAGUAUCCAUGGACCAAUGUGUUGGAACCACCCAAAGGGUGAGGAGUGUGUCAUCUGGUUUCUGGUCCACUAACUCUACAACCUUAAGGAGAUGCUUCUGGCUGGAUUUCAGAUCCUGCUGCGAAUCACUCUUCAUCCUCCCUGGGGAAGCUGGACCGUGCUGUGCCCAGCCCUGCAGCUAGAUCCUUCUGUGAUAUGAGUACAAUGGUUCUAGUUCCUGUCACCUUCUCGGGGGAGUCAUUUAAACUCAAGGACAUCCAAAAAGUUACAGUCAGCACCUGCCCCCCAGGCCCCCCCCCGGGCUUUCAGCAGAUACCGUACCCUUCCUCUGCUUCUA
This is a long non-coding RNA of Mirounga angustirostris (Northern elephant seal), 471 nucleotides long. RefSeq lists it as uncharacterized. The record is from RefSeq and is a predicted model, not a curated record. NCBI's taxonomy places the organism in Eukaryota, Metazoa, Chordata, Mammalia, Carnivora, Phocidae. The transcript has 3 exons.